AUAGGGAAGAAGCUCUUCGGGGUGACGGUACCUGCAGAAGAAGCGCCGGCUAACUACGUGCCAGCAGCCGCGGUAAUACGUAGGGCGCAAGCGUUGUCCGGAAUUAUUGGGCGUAAAGAGCUCGUAGGCGGUCUGUCGCGUCUGCUGUGAAAACGCGGGGCUCAACCCCGCGCCUGCAGUGGGUACGGGCAGACUAGAGUGCGGUAGGGGAGACUGGAAUUCCUGGUGUAGCGGUGGAAUGCGCAGAUAUCAGGAGGAACACCGGUGGCGAAGGCGGGUCUCUGGGCCGUUACUGACGCUGAGGAGCGAAAGCAUGGGGAGCGAACAGGAUUAGAUACCCUGGUAGUCCAUGCCGUAAACGUUGGGCACUAGGUGUGGGACCCAUUCCACGGGUUCCGUGCCGCAGCUAACGCAUUAAGUGCCCCGCCUGGGGAGUACGGCCGCAAGGCUAAAACUCAAAGGAAUUGACGGGGGCCCGCACAAGCGGCGGAGCAUGCGGAUUAAUUCUAUGCAACGCGAAGAACCUUACCAAGGCUUGACAUACACCGGAAACGUCCAGAGAUGGGCGCCCCGCAAGGUCGGUGUACAGGUGGUGCAUGGUUGUCGUCAGCACGUGUCGU
This 620-nucleotide ribosomal RNA is filed under the name uncultured Georgenia sp. Its description in RNAcentral is "bacterial SSU rRNA". It matches the Rfam family "Bacterial small subunit ribosomal RNA", at positions 439 to 1068 of the family's 1533-position model. Lineage: Bacteria; Bacillati; Actinomycetota; Actinomycetes; Allobogoriellales; Allobogoriellaceae. The record is from RNAcentral.